Cydia splendana is the source of this 609-nucleotide long non-coding RNA. RefSeq lists it as uncharacterized. The transcript has 2 exons. NCBI's taxonomy places the organism in Eukaryota, Metazoa, Arthropoda, Insecta, Lepidoptera, Tortricidae. The record is from RefSeq and is a predicted model, not a curated record.
UUAAAUUCCAGGUAUUUUUCUAUUACCUGCUCUAAAGUAUAAAUGUGAUCAGUCGUAGAGUACCCUGGCCUGAAACCUGCUUGUUCGCUUGGUUGGUGUUUUUCUAUAUGUGGCUCUAUUCUUUUUUCAAGGCACAUUGCAAACAACUUGUACAAUGUGGGCAGCAAGCUAAUCGGCCUGUAGUUAUUAAUGUCAUCUGGGUCGCCCUUCUUAUACAGUAGAAUAAUCCGUGAUUCUGCCCAGUGUUGAGGUAUUAUCUGUGUUUCAAGUAUUUUAUUAAACAGUAUAGUAAGGGGGCCAAUCAGAGCAGUAGUUCCAAUUUUUAUAGCUUCGUUGGGUAUAUUAUCAGCUCCUGGGCUUUUUUCGUUCUUUAAUCGCUUUAUAUUUUUCAGUAUUUCUUGAGCGUCAAAUGGUGGAACGGUAAUUUGGGCUGUUUGUACAUUGGUGCAUUCCUCUUGGUCCUGGUCUAUAUUUUCACUUUGUUUCUUAGUUGAGUUAUCACUACUAUAGAGUUUUUUAUAGAAAUCUAGUUGGUAUCCAUUUUUUCUCUGAGUUCAGCUGUUUAUAUGCUCUGUUUUGGCUUCCAGAUUCAACUAAAUUGUGCUCUAU